GGGGAAUAUUGGACAAUGGGGGCAACCCUGAUCCAGCAAUGCCGCGUGUGUGAAGAAGGCCUGCGGGUUGUAAAGCACUUUCAGCAGGGAAGAAAAGCUCGGGGUUAAUACCCCCGGGUCUUGACGUUACCUGAAGAAGAAGCACCGGCUAACUCCGUGCCAGCAGCCGCGGUAAUACGGAGGGUGCGAGCGUUAAUCGGAAUUACUGGGCGUAAAGCGCACGUAGGCGGUCGGAUAAGUCGGAUGUGAAAGCCCUGGGCUUAACCUGGGAACUGCAUUCGAUACUGUCUGGCUAGAGUAUGGGAGAGGGAAGCGGAAUUUCCGGUGUAGCGGUGAAAUGCGUAGAUAUCGGAAGGAACACCAAUGGCGAAGGCAGCUUCCUGGCCCAAUACUGACGCUCAGGUGCGAAAGCGUGGGGAUCAAAC
Molecule: ribosomal RNA, 425 nt
Filed under: uncultured bacterium
Lineage: Bacteria
Description: bacterial SSU rRNA
Rfam family: Bacterial small subunit ribosomal RNA
Source: RNAcentral